AGAGACAGCAGCCGCCGCGGUAAUACGUAGGUGGCAAGCGUUGUCCGGAAUUAUUGGGCGUAAAGCGCGCGCAGGCGGAUAGGUCAGUCUGUCUUAAAAGUUCGGGGCUUAACCCCGUGAUGGGAUGGAAACUGCCAAUCUAGAGUAUCGGAGAGGAAAGUGGAAUUCCUAGUGUAGCGGUGAAAUGCGUAGAUAUUAGGAAGAACACCAGUGGCGAAGGCGACUUUCUGGACGAAAACUGACGCUGAGGCGCGAAAGCCAGGGGAGCGAACGGGAUUAGAUACCCCUGUAGUCCCUGUCUCUUAUACA
This 309-nucleotide ribosomal RNA is filed under the name uncultured bacterium. RNAcentral's name for it is "partial 16S ribosomal RNA". It matches the Rfam family "Bacterial small subunit ribosomal RNA", at positions 504 to 809 of the family's 1533-position model. The record is from RNAcentral.